RNAcentral lists this ribosomal RNA (301 nucleotides) under uncultured bacterium. RNAcentral's name for it is "partial 16S ribosomal RNA". It matches the Rfam family "Bacterial small subunit ribosomal RNA", at positions 509 to 807 of the family's 1533-position model. The record is from RNAcentral.
CAGUCGCCACGGUAAUACGUAGGUGGCAAGCGUUGUCCGGAAUUAUUGGGCGUAAAGGGCUCGCAGGCGGUUUCUUAAGUCUGAUGUGAAAGCCCCCGGCUCAACCGGGGAGGGUCAUUGGAAACUGGGAAACUUGAGUGCAGAAGAGGAGAGUGGAAUUCCACGUGUAGCGGUGAAAUGCGUAGAGAUGUGGAGGAACACCAGUGGCGAAGGCGACUCUCUGGUCUGUAACUGACGCUGAGGAGCGAAAGCGUGGGGAGCGAACAGGAUUAGAUACCCCUGUAGUCCCUGUCUCUUAUAC